UGCCUACGGGUGGCUGCAGUAGGGAAUAUUGGUCAAUGGGCGCAAGCCUGAACCAGCCAUGCCGCGUGCAGGAAGAAGGCCCUCUGGGUUGUAAACUGCUUUUGAUAGGGAACAAAUGCCACUUGCGAGUGGAGCUGAGUGUACCUAUAGAAUAAGCACCGGCUAACUCCGUGCCAGCAGCCGCGGUAAUACGGAGGGUGCAAGCGUUGUCCGGAUUUAUUGGGUUUAAAGGGUGCGUAGGCGGCUAUUUAAUUCAGUGGUGAAAUCCUUCAGCUUAACUGGAGAACGUCCAUUGAUACUGAAUAGCUUGAGUAUAGUGGAGGUAGGCGGAAUUGACAGUGUAGCGGUGAAAUGCUUAGAUAUUGUCAAGAACACCGAUUGCGAAGGCAGCUUACUAAACUAUAACUGACGCUGAGGCACGAAAGCGUGGGGAUCAAACAGGAUUAGAUACCCGAGUAGUC
This 461-nucleotide ribosomal RNA is filed under the name uncultured Cytophaga sp. RNAcentral's name for it is "bacterial SSU rRNA". It matches the Rfam family "Bacterial small subunit ribosomal RNA", at positions 335 to 795 of the family's 1533-position model. Lineage: Bacteria; Pseudomonadati; Bacteroidota; Cytophagia; Cytophagales; Cytophagaceae. The record is from RNAcentral.